GGGCACUCCCGUAGACCUUGCCUGACUCUGCCAAUAGUCAAGCAGGGGGGACAGUGUGUGCCAGAGAAAACAGAGCUUCUGUGAUCUAUGGCCGGCCAGCACUAUUGGUGGCUGGCUAUAUACAUUACUCUAACAUUU
RNAcentral lists this small nucleolar RNA (138 nucleotides) under Sarcophilus harrisii (Tasmanian devil). RNAcentral describes it as "Small nucleolar RNA SNORA58 (ENSSHAG00000019873.2)". It matches the Rfam family "Small nucleolar RNA SNORA58". Rfam says of the family: ACA52 is a member of the H/ACA class of snoRNA that guide the sites of modification of uridines to pseudouridines. The record is from Rfam by way of RNAcentral. Lineage: Eukaryota; Metazoa; Chordata; Mammalia; Dasyuromorphia; Dasyuridae.